This 161-nucleotide ribosomal RNA is filed under the name uncultured bacterium. RNAcentral describes it as "partial 16S rRNA". It matches the Rfam family "Bacterial small subunit ribosomal RNA", at positions 358 to 511 of the family's 1533-position model. The record is from RNAcentral.
GGAAUCUUCCACAAUGGACGCAAGUCUGAUGGAGCAACGCCGCGUGAGUGAAGAAGGUCUUCGGAUCGUAAAACUCUGUUGUUAGAGAAGAACACGAGUGAGAGUAACUGUUCAUUCGAUGACGGUAUCUAACCAGCAAGUCGCGGCUAACUACGUGCCAG